CACGUAGUUAGCCGGGGCUUCUUCUGAAGGUACCGUCACCCUCUGGGCUAUUAACCCGAGUAGCUUCUUCCCUCCUGAAAGAGGUUUACAACCCGAAGGCCUUCUUCCCUCACGCGGCGUCGCUGCGUCACGGUUUCCCGCAUUAGCGCAAUAUUCCCCACUGCUGCCUCCCGUAGGAGUCUGAGCCGUGUCUCAGUCCCAGUGUGGCUGUUCGUCCUCUCAGACCAGCUACGGAUCGUCGCCUUGGUGAGCCGUUACCUCACCAACUAGCUAAUCCGCCGCGGACCCAUCCUCGGCCAGAGGCCGAAGCUACCUUUCCCACCGCCCCUAGAGGCUGUGGGCUAUCCGGCAUUAAUCCGAGUUUCCCCGGGCUAUUCCGGUGCCGAGGGCAGGUUAUCCACGUGUUACUCACCCGUUCGCCGCUGUCCCCAGGACCGAAGUCCUGGUUCUCGCUCGACUUGCAUGUGUUAGGCGCGCCGCCAGCCGUUCUCCUGCGCCAGGACUCAAACUCUCUGAGACGCGACGACG
Molecule: ribosomal RNA, 528 nt
Filed under: uncultured bacterium
Lineage: Bacteria
Description: partial 16S ribosomal RNA
Source: RNAcentral